Molecule: ribosomal RNA, 253 nt
Filed under: uncultured bacterium
Lineage: Bacteria
Description: partial 16S ribosomal RNA
Rfam family: Bacterial small subunit ribosomal RNA
Source: RNAcentral
UACAGAGGUCCCAAGCGUUGUUCGGAAUUACUGGGCGUAAAGCGCGUGUAGGUGGUUGUCCAAGUUGGAUGUGAAAGCCUUGAGCUCAACUCAAGAAAUGCAUUCAGGACUGGAUGGCUAGAGGACCGGAGAGGAUAGUGGAAUUCCCAGUGUAGUGGUGAAAUACGUAGAGAUUGGGAAGAACACCAGUGGCGAAGGCGGCUAUCUGGACGGUUUCUGACACUAAGACUCGAAAGCGUGGGGAGCAAACAGG